Molecule: ribosomal RNA, 2899 nt
Filed under: Klebsiella pneumoniae
Lineage: Bacteria; Pseudomonadati; Pseudomonadota; Gammaproteobacteria; Enterobacterales; Enterobacteriaceae
Description: 23S ribosomal RNA
Rfam family: Bacterial large subunit ribosomal RNA
Source: RNAcentral
UUAAGCGACUAAGCGUACACGGUGGAUGCCCUGGCAGUCAGAGGCGAUGAAGGACGUGCUAAUCUGCGAAAAGCGUCGGUAAGGUGAUAUGAACCGUUAUAGCCGGCGAUGUCCGAAUGGGGAAACCCAGUGCAAUUCGUUGCACUAUCGUUAACUGAAUACAUAGGUUAACGAGGCGAACCGGGGGAACUGAAACAUCUAAGUACCCCGAGGAAAAGAAAUCAACCGAGAUUCCCCCAGUAGCGGCGAGCGAACGGGGAGCAGCCCAGAGUCUGAAUCAGCUUGUGUGUUAGUGGAACGGUCUGGAAAGUCCGACGGUACAGGGUGAUAGUCCCGUACACCAAAAUGCACAGGUUGUGAACUCGAAGAGUAGGGCGGGACACGUGGUAUCCUGUCUGAAUAUGGGGGGACCAUCCUCCAAGGCUAAAUACUCCUGACUGACCGAUAGUGAACCAGUACCGUGAGGGAAAGGCGAAAAGAACCCCGGCGAGGGGAGUGAAAAAGAACCUGAAACCGUGUACGUACAAGCAGUGGGAGCACCUUCGGGUGUGACUGCGUACCUUUUGUAUAAUGGGUCAGCGACUUAUAUUCUGUAGCAAGGUUAACCGUAUAGGGGAGCCGCAGGGAAACCGAGUCUUAACUGGGCGUUAAGUUGCAGGGUAUAGACCCGAAACCCGGUGAUCUAGCCAUGGGCAGGUUGAAGGUUGGGUAACACUAACUGGAGGACCGAACCGACUAAUGUUGAAAAAUUAGCGGAUGACUUGUGGCUGGGGGUGAAAGGCCAAUCAAACCGGGAGAUAGCUGGUUCUCCCCGAAAGCUAUUUAGGUAGCGCCUCGUGAACUCAUCUUCGGGGGUAGAGCACUGUUUCGGCUAGGGGGUCAUCCCGACUUACCAACCCGAUGCAAACUACGAAUACCGAAGAAUGUUAUCACGGGAGACACACGGCGGGUGCUAACGUCCGUCGUGAAGAGGGAAACAACCCAGACCGCCAGCUAAGGUCCCAAAGUCAUGGUUAAGUGGGAAACGAUGUGGGAAGGCACAGACAGCCAGGAUGUUGGCUUAGAAGCAGCCAUCAUUUAAAGAAAGCGUAAUAGCUCACUGGUCGAGUCGGCCUGCGCGGAAGAUGUAACGGGGCUAAACCAUGCACCGAAGCUGCGGCAGCGACACUAUGUGUUGUUGGGUAGGGGAGCGUUCUGUAAGCCUGCGAAGGUGACCUGUGAGGGUUGCUGGAGGUAUCAGAAGUGCGAAUGCUGACAUAAGUAACGAUAAAGCGGGUGAAAAGCCCGCUCGCCGGAAGACCAAGGGUUCCUGUCCAACGUUAAUCGGGGCAGGGUGAGUCGACCCCUAAGGCGAGGCCGAAAGGCGUAGUCGAUGGGAAACAGGUUAAUAUUCCUGUACUUGGUGUUACUGCGAAGGGGGGACGGAGAAGGCUAUGUUAGCCGGGCGACGGUUGUCCCGGUUUAAGCAUGUAGGCUGGUUGUCCAGGCAAAUCCGGAUAAUCAAGGCUGAGGUGUGAUGACGAGGUACUACGGUGCUGAAGUAACAAAUGCCCUGCUUCCAGGAAAAGCCUCUAAGCAUCAGGUAACAUCAAAUCGUACCCCAAACCGACACAGGUGGUCAGGUAGAGAAUACCAAGGCGCUUGAGAGAACUCGGGUGAAGGAACUAGGCAAAAUGGUGCCGUAACUUCGGGAGAAGGCACGCUGGUGUGUAGGUGAAGUCCCUGCGGAUGGAGCUGAGACCAGUCGAAGAUACCAGCUGGCUGCAACUGUUUAUUAAAAACACAGCACUGUGCAAACACGAAAGUGGACGUAUACGGUGUGACGCCUGCCCGGUGCCGGAAGGUUAAUUGAUGGGGUUAUCCGUAAGGAGAAGCUCUUGAUCGAAGCCCCGGUAAACGGCGGCCGUAACUAUAACGGUCCUAAGGUAGCGAAAUUCCUUGUCGGGUAAGUUCCGACCUGCACGAAUGGCGUAAUGAUGGCCAGGCUGUCUCCACCCGAGACUCAGUGAAAUUGAACUCGCUGUGAAGAUGCAGUGUACCCGCGGCAAGACGGAAAGACCCCGUGAACCUUUACUAUAGCUUGACACUGAACAUUGAGCCUUGAUGUGUAGGAUAGGUGGGAGGCUUUGAAGCGUGGACGCCAGUCUGCGUGGAGCCAACCUUGAAAUACCACCCUUUAAUGUUUGAUGUUCUAACGUUGGCCCCUGACCGGGGUUGCGGACAGUGUCUGGUGGGUAGUUUGACUGGGGCGGUCUCCUCCCAAAGCGUAACGGAGGAGCACGAAGGUUAGCUAAUCCUGGUCGGACAUCAGGAGGUUAGUGCAAUGGCAUAAGCUAGCUUGACUGCGAGCGUGACGGCGCGAGCAGGUGCGAAAGCAGGUCAUAGUGAUCCGGUGGUUCUGAAUGGAAGGGCCAUCGCUCAACGGAUAAAAGGUACUCCGGGGAUAACAGGCUGAUACCGCCCAAGAGUUCAUAUCGACGGCGGUGUUUGGCACCUCGAUGUCGGCUCAUCACAUCCUGGGGCUGAAGUAGGUCCCAAGGGUAUGGCUGUUCGCCAUUUAAAGUGGUACGCGAGCUGGGUUUAGAACGUCGUGAGACAGUUCGGUCCCUAUCUGCCGUGGGCGCUGGAGAAUUGAGGGGGGCUGCUCCUAGUACGAGAGGACCGGAGUGGACGCAUCACUGGUGUUCGGGUUGUCAUGCCAAUGGCACUGCCCGGUAGCUAAAUGCGGAAGAGAUAAGUGCUGAAAGCAUCUAAGCACGAAACUUGCCCCGAGAUGAGUUCUCCCUGAGACUUUAAGUCUCCUGAAGGAACGUUAAAGACGAUGACGUUGAUAGGCCGGGUGUGUAAGCGCAGCGAUGCGUUGAGCUAACCGGUACUAAUGAACCGUGAGGCUUAACCU